GACCAGACUCCUACGGGAGGCAGCAGUGAGGAAUAUUGGUCAAUGGGCGGGAGCCUGAACCAGCCAAGUCGCGUGAGGGAAGACGGUCCUACGGAUUGUAAACCCCUUUUGCCGGGGAGCAACGGGGUCCUUGCGAGGGCCCGAUGAGAGUACCCGGAGAAAAAGCAUCGGCUAACUACGUGCCAGCAGCCGCGGUAAUACGUAGGUGGCGAGCGUUGUCCGGAAUUACUGGGUGUAAAGGGAGCGUAGGCGGGAUAUUAAGUUGAAUGUAUAAACUACCGGCUUAACCGAUAGAAGCGUUCAAAACUGAUAUUCUUGAGUGAAGUAGAGGCAGGCGGAAUUCCUAGUGUAGCGGUGAAAUGCGUAGAUAUUAGGAGGAACACCAGUGGCGAAGGCGGCCUGCUGGGCUUUAACUGACGCUGAGGCUCGAAAGCGUGGGUAGCAAACAGGAUUAGAUACCCCCGUA
RNAcentral lists this ribosomal RNA (466 nucleotides) under uncultured bacterium. RNAcentral's name for it is "bacterial SSU rRNA". It matches the Rfam family "Bacterial small subunit ribosomal RNA", at positions 329 to 792 of the family's 1533-position model. The record is from RNAcentral.